Molecule: non-coding RNA, 23 nt
Filed under: Arabidopsis thaliana (thale cress)
Lineage: Eukaryota; Viridiplantae; Streptophyta; Magnoliopsida; Brassicales; Brassicaceae
Source: RNAcentral
GUUGUUCGUUUCGUUGUCGCUGC